Molecule: transfer RNA, 84 nt
Filed under: Thiothrix caldifontis
Lineage: Bacteria; Pseudomonadati; Pseudomonadota; Gammaproteobacteria; Thiotrichales; Thiotrichaceae
Rfam family: tRNA
About the family: Transfer RNA (tRNA) molecules are approximately 80 nucleotides in length. Their secondary structure includes four short double-helical elements and three loops (D, anti-codon, and T loops).
Source: Rfam by way of RNAcentral
GCCCGGAUGGUGAAAUCGGUAGACACAAGAGACUUAAAAUCUCUCGCUGGUAACAGCGUGCCGGUUCGAGUCCGGCUCCGGGCA